GGGUUGCUAACUCAAUGGUAGAGUACUCGGCUUUUAAGAUAAUAAAUAAUUAAACAAUGAAGAGCUAAAAAA
This 72-nucleotide transfer RNA is filed under the name Aster spathulifolius. RNAcentral's name for it is "tRNA-Lys". Lineage: Eukaryota; Viridiplantae; Streptophyta; Magnoliopsida; Asterales; Asteraceae. The record is from RNAcentral.